This is a long non-coding RNA of Camellia sinensis, 1128 nucleotides long. RefSeq lists it as uncharacterized. NCBI's taxonomy places the organism in Eukaryota, Viridiplantae, Streptophyta, Magnoliopsida, Ericales, Theaceae. The record is from RefSeq and is a predicted model, not a curated record.
UCAGACAACGUCGCUUUGGCCGAGUGGUUAAGGCGUGUGCCUGCUAAGUACAUGGGGUUUCCCCGCGAGAGUUCGAAUCUCUCAGGCGACGUGUAGAUACUUUUUAAUAUUGGGUAAACCAAAAAGCAAUGGAAAAACACCAAGAAAGAAUUUGAUCAGCCACUCUCUCUCUCUCUCUCUCUGACAACUUUUGAUGUUAUCAUUCUACAUUCGCAAGUUGUUUCUACAAAUUUUGCACUCCUCAAUGCUUGAUUUGAUUCAUGUAUGCCCAAUUUGGAUUACUAUGAUUUCUACGUUCAAAAGCAGUUUCUGCAAAUUUUGCACUUGCCAAUAGUGAUUUGAUUCAUGGGAUGGCUUUUAGUUGAGAUCUCUAAUGAAGGCAUGUUCUUUUGAGAAAAUCAACACUGGCUUGGGUUGGCAGAGGUGAAAGCAAGUAUUAUCCUUAGUUGUAUGAAUUUAAAACUUCUUGCAUCAAUGAAAAUGCUGCUAGACUGGUAAGAAAUUGAGAAUACUGUUAAAACAUUCAACAUAAAACCAAUUGAUAAUAAGUAGAAGAGCUUCUAGAAUAUAUAAGCAUAGUUUGAGUAACUUAAAUAGACAAAUAUGAGACAAAUCUAACAUGUAUGAACACAUGUUGAUAUGCCACUUUUCAAGGUGAAAAUUUGCAGGUACAAUAUCCUCAAUAUGUUGGCGGCUACAUCAAUGCAUGCCUCAUUGUUUUCUUCAUUCUAUGUAGGGUGAACAUAGUUCGGUUUGGUUCAGUUUAGGAGGAAAUUCAAUGACUAAAUCACUAUUUACGGUUCCAUGAAAUUUGAAACUAAACCAAAUAUGGAAUAUCUUGACGGUUUGGUUCGGUUCAUUUUGGAACCAUGGUUUCUAGAAAUUUGUCACCACAUGCUUAAAAAUAUUGCUCCCAACCUACUCAAACAUUGUCAUAAUUUUUAAACAAAGUGUUUAGAGGGAAAUUUUUUGGGGCGUGUGCCAUAUGCUCUAGUUAUGACAUCUGUAGUAUUCGGUUAUAACUUAUUGUAGUAUUAGUUAUGACUUAAUUAUGAUUGAUCAUGAUGUAAGUUAUGACUCAUUGAGAUGUUGGUUAUGUUAUGAUCCAAAAGCUAUUUGAUUGUACUU